GAAGCAUAGAACUAAAGAAACAUAGAAAAUCAAAGGUGUCUGGAAAAAUAAAAGAAAAAUCCAUGUUAUAUUGAAUUCUGAUUCUGAUUUUGUCAUUCAAAAAAAGAGGAAAUUCUGGUUCAUUUAGAGAAUUUGGGAUGGUUUGAUUUUGAAUUUGAAAGAGUUUUGAGUUGAGCUUUGUGGAAGUUCACUGUUUCAUUGAUCUGGGGUUGAAUUUGUUUGGUUUUGGGUCUUGAGUCUGGGCUACUUAGCUGUUGAGUUUUGAAGUGGUUUCUGGUCUAUUUGCAUCAUUUUCUGGGUGGAGAAACUGGUUGUUUAUUGUUGAUGCUGUGCUGUUAGCUGUUGAUUCCUCAUUCUUUUUUCAUUCCAUUUCCAGGUAUUCCUAACCACACUUGGUCAUCAUCUAAAUGUAAUGAAGUUGGAGAUUGAAGUAUGAAAUAAUGUAUAAAGUAGUCAAUAGUCAGUUAUAUUUGCUUUAUUCAUUUACUUAUGUUGUAAUAUUUAAAUUCAGAAGUGC
RNAcentral lists this long non-coding RNA (517 nucleotides) under Nicotiana benthamiana. RNAcentral describes it as "long non-coding RNA (NBEN_LNC042222)". Lineage: Eukaryota; Viridiplantae; Streptophyta; Magnoliopsida; Solanales; Solanaceae. The record is from RNAcentral.